Molecule: ribosomal RNA, 274 nt
Filed under: uncultured bacterium
Lineage: Bacteria
Description: partial 16S ribosomal RNA
Rfam family: Bacterial small subunit ribosomal RNA
Source: RNAcentral
AUACGGAGGGUGCAAGCGUUACUCGGAAUCACUGGGCGUAAAGCGCGCGCAGGCGGUUUGAUAAGUUGGAUGUGAAAUCCUAUGGCUCAACCAUAGAACUGCAUCCAAAACUGUCAAACUAGAGUCUGGGAGAGGAAGAUGGAAUUAGUUGUGUAGGGGUAAAAUCCGUAGAGAUAACUAGGAAUACCAAAAGCGAAGGCGAUCUUCUGGAACACUACUGACGCUGAGGCGCGAAGGCGUGGGGAGCAAACAGGAUUAGAAACCCCAGUAGUCC